RNAcentral lists this long non-coding RNA (3611 nucleotides) under Papio anubis (olive baboon). RNAcentral describes it as "lncRNA (ENSPANG00000049374.1)". Lineage: Eukaryota; Metazoa; Chordata; Mammalia; Primates; Cercopithecidae. The record is from RNAcentral.
GUAUUACCAUUUAAAAACUUAGCAGAAUAGAAAGGAAGAAAAUUCUACCCCAGUAUCAUCAUUAUUCAUGCUUCCUUCAAUAAUGACGAUUGUAAGGUCUAGAGCGGUGUUCCUAGAACCGUAGGCCACAAGACAGACUGCUGCUAUGGCAUCCCGCAACCACGAUCGUCCCUCUGCCGAGAGAUCAGUCAGCCAGCCACGUGGCAAGUUGGUAAGAAAACUUCCGUGUUCCCUUCUUUGAUGCCAGCAGAAAAUUCAAGCAACACAAGCCACUUCGCAUGCGAGGGAAGCCCACGGCCUCAGGCAGUGAACACAGUGGCCUCAGGCCUGGACGACUGUAAAAGCCCCAAGCCAGGGUCUUUCCCUGUUCGUUCAAACCAUUUUUGGACAAGCUUGGGAGACUUCUCCUGCCCUCCCCUGGAAACCUCGCUUGGAAAGUCUCCCACCACUGACUCAGCCAUAAAAUUCACUAAACAUCAGUUGUCCAAGCACUGUUGGUUAAAAAUUAUUUUUACAUUGUAUGUAAACUUGAAAAUUUAAGCAAAAAUGAGAGAGAGAGAGCGAGAGAGAGCAAGAGAGAGAGAGAGAAGAUAAUGUCUUCCAGAUGACGGCUUUCUGGAUGAAAUCUGAAGCCUGAAGCAAGAGAAAAUUUUCAUUACCAUUCAGAUUACAUGUCAUUUUGAUUCACACUCCCUAAGCAAGCUAAUUUGGUCGGCAGCCAACCUUCUCGCAGUGUGAUGACAACACAACAAGCUUCACCGCCUUCCUUUCAGCGCUAAUGACUCCUUGAGUGACAGCCAUGGUCUCAGAGCUCCGCGUGACCCCUCACCCUGCUGUGCCCGCAAUGUCAGAGCUGCUGCUGUCCUGGGCUCCUGCUCACGGUCCUGGCAAGGACAGCCUGUGACUUCAGGAACACGCCAGCCGCCGUCACCCCACCCACCUGCAUACCUAUACACACACAGGCGCCCCUGGUGCUCACCUCUCAACACUGCAUGUUGUCAGGACAGUAUCACCAGGAUGAAAUAAAUUGUGGUAGCAACUGGGUGCCUCUGAGGACCUCUUCCCUCUCCCCUCAGGGCAGGGGAGCUCACCCAGCUUCUCAGCAUGGACUCAUGCAAGCCAUGAAUUCUUUGUUGUGCUAUAAGCUAUUAUGUCAGGUCUGAAUGUCACCCUUUUUAAAAUUUAUUUUUAUUUUAAAUUUUCUUUUACUCUGUUUUGAAAACUAUCUUUGUCAAUAGAUAUAUUUUUUCUCAAAAAUCAAAAUAUUUUGUUGACUUGUUUGUUUUUAGAUUUAAGGUAGGCACACACCCUUAUCCCAAAGUCCUGCUACCUGAUAGUGUUUGGAGUUAUGAGAAGAACAGUGACCUUUGUUUCCAUUCUGGAAAGGAAUCUGUCAAUGCAUGUUUGGGGCGGGAACAUAAACACUAAGAUAUGAUGUGUACGGGGUGGACAUCUUGUUCAAAUUCCCUGUGGUAUUCCCAGUGAAAGAACGCCCACACAUGGGAGCAUUGCACAGCUAUUGGAUGAGGAAACAAAAGAACGAAGGUGACUAUCUCCUUGUGAACGUGGCUAUCUCAUUAUGAAUGUGACUGUUUCAUUUCUGGCUGGGAGUUACCGCACCAUUUGCAAAUUCGGAAAGCAUGCUUGUUGCUUGGUCUGUGACUCCUUCACCGAAGCCCUCUCCAUCCACUCACGGAGAUAGGAACCUUGACUUCAAAUAACGGAACAUCAAAAGGAGUUUUUACCCAGGCACUAGUUUUCUUGCUCUAACAUGCCCCAGUUUGUAUCUGAAUUCAGUUAUUCACUUAAGAGAAGGCUAAGGGUCCCAACAGCGUGGAAGUCACAGUGCUGGGAUACUGGCGGGAUACUGGCUACACAGGUGGGCCCAGGUGAGCAGGGUAGGCCUCUAGGGUUCUGGGAUUUUGCAUAUAAUCAAAGAUAUUGAAAAGCUCAUUAUGGUUUGAAGGUGUUAGGGCAGAGGAAGGUCUAAUCUGAAAUAUGAGAAAUUAAGUGUUGGUCAGAGAGGUAGGUGUGGAAGGCUGGAGUGGAGCCUGCCUCUUCCCAGAAGCUAUUCAUGGAAGACCCUCACUCCCAUGACCUUGUAGAGCAUCGGUUUCUCUGCAAUCGAAUUUGAGAUUCUGGGUAGCAAAGAACAUGGACAAAUACAUGAUUUAUUAAUGAAAAUAAUUCUACUCUUUUUCUAUACGUCAAUGUAUAUCAGUGACCUGGUGUAGGAAAUUAGAUGGGUAUGUAGUGAUAGAAAGCAAAAUCUAUUAAGAGGGUAUUGUUGGUCCAGUUUCUAAGAAGUUAAGACAUAUUUUAUGUAAAUAUUCUUUUUUACUCCCACCAUGGUGGUUUAGUAAUUAGUUCUCUAUUUUUCUCAUUUUUUAGGAUGAAUAUAUAAGAGGGGAUUGAGAUUGGGGAGGAGAAAAUGAUAGCUUUCCCAUUAGAAACGUUUUUCUUUGGCCAGGUGCAGUGGCUCAGGCCUGUAAUCUCAGCACUUUGGGAGGCCAAGAAAGGUGGAUCACUUGAGGUCAGGAGUUCAAGGCCAGCCUGGCCAAUAUGGUGAAAUUCCAUCUCUACUAAAAAAUACAAAAAUUAGCCAGGCAUGGUGGUGCAUGCCUGCAGUCCCAGCUAGUCGGGAGCCUGAGGCAGGAGAAUAAGUUGAACUCGGAAGGCAGAGGUUGCAGUGAGCCCAGAUCAUGCCACUGCACUGCAGCCUGGGUGACAGAGCGAGACUCUGUGUCAAAAAAAAAAAAAGUUUUUCUUUUUUAGAUGGAGUUUCACACUUGUCACCCAGGCUGUAAUGGCACGAUCUCGGUUCACUGCAAACUCCGCUUUCCAGGUCCAAGCAAUGAUUCAACCUCCCAAGUAGCUGGGAUUACAGGUGCCCGCCACAAUGCCCAGCUAAUUUUUUGUAAUUUUUGUAGACACAGGGUUUCACCGUGUUGGUGAGGCUGGUCUCGAACUCCUGACCUCAGGUGAUCCACCCGCCUUGGCCUCCCAAAGUGCUGGGAUUACAGGCCUGAGCCACUGCGCCCAGCCUCUUUUUUUUUCUUUUAGCUUAUGAGAAAAUGUGGGAAGACUAGUUUAUUUGGAAUCAAAAUAAUCAUAGCCAACCACUGAUCCACAAUUUAUUAGAUUGUUUAAAUUUUUACCCUUGCUAAAACUUUAUAUUCACAUCUGUAAAAUGGUAACAGCAAUAAUGCCUAUUUAUACAGAUGCUUUUAGGAUUACAGAAGCUGAUUUGAGCACUCAGUAUGUUAUUGAACGUUAAACACAAUUCAUUUUUGUCUUCAAAUCAUGUAAUGGUUCUGUCAUUACAUAGUUAAAGAAAGAUGUAUUGGAAUUAAAAUUAAGAAUCAUUUUCCUCAAGGUAUAUUUUAUUACAAUUUCCCCAAGGUGAAGCUAUUUAAAAAAUGUUUUUAAGUCAAAUGUUACAAUACAGAGGAGAAGAUCAGUGGGUGCAGAGAAGUCUGAACAUUGUGGACAUUAGACCUUUUAAUACAUCCCAAAUCUUGGUGUUUCCCAAAUGCAUCAAUAGUUUACAAGAGUUUGUGAGGGACAAGGGUAAUUAACUUGCAGGAUAAACACAUUUAUUUUGGUUCGGG